UACGGAGGAUCCGAGCGUUAUCCGGAUUUAUUGGGUUUAAAGGGUGCGCAGGCGGGAGAUUAAGUCGGCGGUGAAAUUUUGCAGCUCAACUGUAAAAGUGCCUUCGAAACUGGUUUCCUUGAGUGUGGAUGAAGUAGGUGGAAUUUGUGGUGUAGCGGUGAAAUGCAUAGAUAUCACGAGGAACUCCGAUUGCGCAGGCAGCUUACUAAACUACUACUGACGCUCAGGCACGAAGGCGUGGGGAUCAAACAGGAUUAGAUACCCUGGUAGU
RNAcentral lists this ribosomal RNA (271 nucleotides) under uncultured prokaryote. RNAcentral's name for it is "partial 16S ribosomal RNA". It matches the Rfam family "Bacterial small subunit ribosomal RNA", at positions 524 to 794 of the family's 1533-position model. The record is from RNAcentral.